AGCGUACACGGUGGAUGCCCUGGCAGUCAGAGGCGAUGAAGGACGUGCUAAUCUGCGAUAAGCGUCGGUAAGGUGAUAUGAACCGUUAUAACCGGCGAUUUCCGAAUGGGGAAACCCAGUGUGUUUCGACACACUAUCAUUAACUGAAUCCAUAGGUUAAUGAGGCGAACCGGGGGAACUGAAACAUCUAAGUACCCCGAGGAAAAGAAAUCAACCGAGAUUCCCCCAGUAGCGGCGAGCGAACGGGGAGGAGCCCAGAGCCUGAAUCAGUGUGUGUGUUAGUGGAAGCGUCUGGAAAGGCGCGCGAUACAGGGUGACAGCCCCGUACACAAAAAUGCACAUAUUGUGAGCUCGAUGAGUAGGGCGGGACACGUGGUAUCCUGUCUGAAUAUGGGGGGACCAUCCUCCAAGGCUAAAUACUCCUGACUGACCGAUAGUGAACCAGUACCGUGAGGGAAAGGCGAAAAGAACCCCGGCGAGGGGAGUGAAAAAGAACCUGAAACCGUGUACGUACAAGCAGUGGGAGCACGCUUAGGCGUGUGACUGCGUACCUUUUGUAUAAUGGGUCAGCGACUUAUAUUCUGUAGCAAGGUUAACCGAAUAGGGGAGCCGAAGGGAAACCGAGUCUUAACUGGGCGUUAAGUUGCAGGGUAUAGACCCGAAACCCGGUGAUCUAGCCAUGGGCAGGUUGAAGGUUGGGUAACACUAACUGGAGGACCGAACCGACUAAUGUUGAAAAAUUAGCGGAUGACUUGUGGCUGGGGGUGAAAGGCCAAUCAAACCGGGAGAUAGCUGGUUCUCCCCGAAAGCUAUUUAGGUAGCGCCUCGUGAAUUCAUCUCCGGGGGUAGAGCACUGUUUCGGCAAGGGGGUCAUCCCGACUUACCAACCCGAUGCAAACUGCGAAUACCGGAGAAUGUUAUCACGGGAGACACACGGCGGGUGCUAACGUCCGUCGUGAAGAGGGAAACAACCCAGACCGCCAGCUAAGGUCCCAAAGUCAUGGUUAAGUGGGAAACGAUGUGGGAAGGCCCAGACAGCCAGGAUGUUGGCUUAGAAGCAGCCAUCAUUUAAAGAAAGCGUAAUAGCUCACUGGUCGAGUCGGCCUGCGCGGAAGAUGUAACGGGGCUAAACCAUGCACCGAAGCUGCGGCAGCGACGCUUAUGCGUUGUUGGGUAGGGGAGCGUUCUGUAAGCCUGUGAAGGUGUGCUGUGAGGCAUGCUGGAGGUAUCAGAAGUGCGAAUGCUGACAUAAGUAACGAUAAAGCGGGUGAAAAGCCCGCUCGCCGGAAGACCAAGGGUUCCUGUCCAACGUUAAUCGGGGCAGGGUGAGUCGACCCCUAAGGCGAGGCCGAAAGGCGUAGUCGAUGGGAAACAGGUUAAUAUUCCUGUACUUGGUGUUACUGCGAAGGGGGGACGGAGAAGGCUAUGUUGGCCGGGCGACGGUUGUCCCGGUUUAAGCGUGUAGGCUGGUUUUCCAGGCAAAUCCGGAAAAUCAAGGCUGAGGCGUGAUGACGAGGCACUACGGUGCUGAAGCAACAAAUGCCCUGCUUCCAGGAAAAGCCUCUAAGCAUCAGGUAACAUCAAAUCGUACCCCAAACCGACACAGGUGGUCAGGUAGAGAAUACCAAGGCGCUUGAGAGAACUCGGGUGAAGGAACUAGGCAAAAUGGUGCCGUAACUUCGGGAGAAGGCACGCUGAUAUGUAGGUGAAGUCCCUCGCGGAUGGAGCUGAAAUCAGUCGAAGAUACCAGCUGGCUGCAACUGUUUAUUAAAAACACAGCACUGUGCAAACACGAAAGUGGACGUAUACGGUGUGACGCCUGCCCGGUGCCGGAAGGUUAAUUGAUGGGGUCAGCGCAAGCGAAGCUCUUGAUCGAAGCCCCGGUAAACGGCGGCCGUAACUAUAACGGUCCUAAGGUAGCGAAAUUCCUUGUCGGGUAAGUUCCGACCUGCACGAAUGGCGUAAUGAUGGCCAGGCUGUCUCCACCCGAGACUCAGUGAAAUUGAACUCGCUGUGAAGAUGCAGUGUACCCGCGGCAAGACGGAAAGACCCCGUGAACCUUUACUAUAGCUUGACACUGAACAUUGAGCCUUGAUGUGUAGGAUAGGUGGGAGGCUUAGAAGUGUGGACGCCAGUCUGCAUGGAGCCGACCUUGAAAUACCACCCUUUAAUGUUUGAUGUUCUAACGUUGACCCGUAAUCCGGGUUGCGGACAGUGUCUGGUGGGUAGUUUGACUGGGGCGGUCUCCUCCUAAAGAGUAACGGAGGAGCACGAAGGUUGGCUAAUCCUGGUCGGACAUCAGGAGGUUAGUGCAAUGGCAUAAGCCAGCUUGACUGCGAGCGUGACGGCGCGAGCAGGUGCGAAAGCAGGUCAUAGUGAUCCGGUGGUUCUGAAUGGAAGGGCCAUCGCUCAACGGAUAAAAGGUACUCCGGGGAUAACAGGCUGAUACCGCCCAAGAGUUCAUAUCGACGGCGGUGUUUGGCACCUCGAUGUCGGCUCAUCACAUCCUGGGGCUGAAGUAGGUCCCAAGGGUAUGGCUGUUCGCCAUUUAAAGUGGUACGCGAGCUGGGUUUAGAACGUCGUGAGACAGUUCGGUCCCUAUCUGCCGUGGGCGCUGGAGAACUGAGGGGGGCUGCUCCUAGUACGAGAGGACCGGAGUGGACGCAUCACUGGUGUUCGGGUUGUCAUGCCAAUGGCACUGCCCGGUAGCUAAAUGCGGAAGAGAUAAGUGCUGAAAGCAUCUAAGCACGAAACUUGCCCCGAGAUGAGUUCU
Molecule: ribosomal RNA, 2773 nt
Filed under: Escherichia coli
Lineage: Bacteria; Pseudomonadati; Pseudomonadota; Gammaproteobacteria; Enterobacterales; Enterobacteriaceae
Description: bacterial LSU rRNA
Rfam family: Bacterial large subunit ribosomal RNA
Source: RNAcentral